ACUUGAAGAAAUGGCAAGGAAGCAGUAAUGGCUGAGCUACGAUGGUGGUUCGCCAAGGGUGAUGGGUCCUGGUGGCCGGAGCUGGGGCUGUCCGUCGGAGCUCCGGUGAGGCUCAGGUGGCAACCGAACCUGCAACAAAAUAGGGGAAGGCAGCAGGUGGCUUCACGAGUUGCUGGCGUGGCAGCUACCGGCGUGAGAAGACGAGCGUCGAUCUGGGGGCGUCGUAUGGCGAGGCGGAGGGCGAUCUGUAGAGGUGGGUCGUGUACGGAUCCGGACCGGCUGUCGUCAAGUGCCGCGGCGUAGAGCGCAGCGAGAAUAGGGAGAUCGGCGACUGGAGCUGGACACGAGCACUGCAGGCAUUCGUGCUCGCGGGUCGCCGGAGGCAAGGCACAGGCGUUGGGUUCGGUGGUGCUCAGCGACGGCAAGGGGGGAGCAGCAACGACGGCGUCAACGGGCUUCAGUGAGCUGCUGGUGUUGCGAUCUGCAGCAGCAAGGAGUGUCGCUGUGCGGGGGGUGCAAUGGCGUCGGCAGCAAACUCACGGCUGCUGGUGCUCGGACGGAGAAGGGGCGGCUGCUGGCGUCAGUGGCAGAGGAAGUCGUCGGGGCUGAGGCGCCGAGUGCAGCGACGGGCGAGCAGAGAGCGACGCGCGGCGCGGGGGGUGUAGUGCGGAGGUGCGGUGGGGAGGCUAUUGUGAGUUGCGACAGCAACGGUUUUCGGAGCUCCGGCGACCGCGAAACAGUAGCUGCGGUGACGGAGUUGCAGGUGUCGCUUGAAGCUUCGAGUUGCAAGGUGCGGGCGAGCAGAGGCGGCGCUUGGGCUUCAAACGGCGUUGAUCGCACGAUGGUGGUGUGGUGGCGGACGAGCAGCAACACCGUGUAGAGCAGAAGCGAAAUGGGGAAGAAGGUGAACAGUAGGGGUCUUGUCAACUUUUUCCUUUAUUUUUUUUCUCUCUCCCUCACGUCACUUCUCUCUGCUCUCUUUCUGUACACUUUUUCUGACUUUUCCUUCAGCAGAUUUUCCUCAAAGGCACGAACGAAAAAGCUAUGAAAAACCUUUCAUUCUUUUUUCUUCUUCCGAACCCCGAGGAGCCCCCGCACUUUUUUUCUUUCUCUUUCAGUUUUCUAUUUUUCUUCGACGAACAAUCAAGAGAAGCCCCCCCUUCGCUCGGUUCUGAAGCCUCGCAUUUUAUAGCGAAAGUGCUCAAAGUUGUUGAAGAUUUGCAAAUA
Molecule: long non-coding RNA, 1227 nt
Filed under: Eucalyptus grandis
Lineage: Eukaryota; Viridiplantae; Streptophyta; Magnoliopsida; Myrtales; Myrtaceae
Description: long non-coding RNA (EGRA_LNC003153)
Source: RNAcentral